AAUAUAAUUAAUCUUGUUAUAAUUGAAUUAGCUUAAUUUUUGGUUUUAUAUGUUAAAUUUUUUGUGAUUUAUUUAUUGUCUUAAUGGCUUUAUCUAUUUAUUAAUUGCAGUUUUUAAUUUUAUUUAUUUAAUUUUAGUUAGAUUUAGCUUAAUUUUUAUUGAACUAUACAAAGUUGUGCCAGCAUAUGCGGUUAUACAUCUAGUUCUUGUUAAUUUUAUUGAUUUUUAUUAUUUAGUUUGUUUAAGAAUUAUAUAUAUUUUAUUAGGUGAAAUUUUUAAUUUUUUUAAUUCUUUGGUUUUAUAUUAUAAGAAAGUUUAUUUAUAAACUAGGAUUAGAUACCCUAUUAUUGUUUACUGUAAUUUUUAAUCUUGGGAUUAUUAGUUAAGUUCUUUAAAUUAAAAAGUUUUGGCGGUGAUUUAAUCUUUUCAGAGGAACCUGUUCUUUAAUUGAUAAUCCACGUUAUUAUUGUCUUUAAUUUUAGUUUGUAUACCUCUGUUAAUUUUGAUGAAUGUUUUAUUAGAAUAUUUUCUUUUAAUAUUUAUUUAUUUUAUAUCAAGUCAAGGUGCAGUUAUAUUGGAGGUUGAAAUGGGUUACAUUUAAUGUUAUUAAUAGGAUUAAAGUUUAAUUUAUUUUUUUAUGAAUUAGGAUUUGAUUGUAAGUGUAAAUAAUUUUUUAUACUGAUUUUUGGCUCUAGAUUAUGUACAUAUCGCCCGUCACUCUCAUCUAUAUAAAGUGAGAUAAGUCGUAACAAAGUAAUUCUAUCGGAAGUUGGGGUUUGAUUAUU
RNAcentral lists this non-coding RNA (785 nucleotides) under Phaenacantha marcida. The record is from RNAcentral. Lineage: Eukaryota; Metazoa; Arthropoda; Insecta; Hemiptera; Colobathristidae.